This 602-nucleotide ribosomal RNA is filed under the name Listeria monocytogenes. RNAcentral's name for it is "partial 23S ribosomal RNA". It matches the Rfam family "Bacterial large subunit ribosomal RNA", at positions 1268 to 1876 of the family's 2925-position model. Lineage: Bacteria; Bacillati; Bacillota; Bacilli; Caryophanales; Listeriaceae. The record is from RNAcentral.
GACUGCUGGAGCGCUUAGAAGUGAGAAUGCCGGUAUGAGUAGCGAAAGACAGGUGAGAAUCCUGUCCACCGAAUGACUAAGGUUUCCUGGGGAAGGCUCGUCCGCCCAGGGUUAGUCGGGACCUAAGCCGAGGCCGACAGGCGUAGGCGAUGGACAACAGGUUGAUAUUCCUGUACCCGUUGUUUUUGUUUGAGCAAUGGAGGGACGCAGGAGGCUAAGAAGUGCAGACUGAUGGAUAUGUCUGUUCAAGCAGUAAGUCUUGGUAGGAGUCAAAUGCUUCUACCUAUACGGACAAGCUGUGAUGAGGAGGGAAAUAAUAGUACCGAAGCUUCUGAUGUCACACUGCCAAGAAAAGCUUCUAGUGAGAAAACAACGGCCCGUACCGCAAACCGACACAGGUAGUCGAGGAGAGAAUCCUAAGGUGAGCGAGAGAACUCUCGUUAAGGAACUCGGCAAAAUGACCCCGUAACUUCGGGAGAAGGGGUGCUGCUCUAACGAGCAGCCGCAGUGAAUAGGCCCAAGCGACUGUUUAUCAAAAACACAGGUCUCUGCAAAAUCGAAAGAUGACGUAUAGGGGCUGACGCCUGCCCGGUGCUGGAAGG